Molecule: ribosomal RNA, 253 nt
Filed under: uncultured bacterium
Lineage: Bacteria
Description: partial 16S ribosomal RNA
Rfam family: Bacterial small subunit ribosomal RNA
Source: RNAcentral
UACGUAGGUGGCAAGCGUUGUCCGGAUUUACUGGGCGUAAAGAGCGCGCAGGCGGUUUGUUGCGUCGGCUGUGAAAUCCCGAGGCUCAACCUCGGGUCUGCAGUCGAUACGAGCAAACUAGAGUGUUGCAGGGGAGACUGGAAUUCCUGGUGUAGCGGUGAAAUGCGCAGAUAUCAGGAGGAACACCGGUGGCGAAGGCGGGUCUCUGGGCAACAACUGACGCUGAGGAGCGAAAGCGUGGGGAGCGAACAGG